CUCUCUGGCCUUUGAUGUUUGAGUCUUUGGGGACACCGUGAUUGCAUCGCAUGGUGUCAGCUUUCUGUCGCUCCGGGGAAUUCCCAGGUUUCUGCAAGACUUUCCCUAUUAAAGUCCCCUGGUUUUGCUCCCCCUGUCCUCCUCUUGGGUGACUUCCAGACUUCAGGUAUGGGGUUUUUGAGAGCUCGUGCCUCUGCUGUGGUUUUGGUGCUGUCUGCUCUUGAGGCCUGGGCCCUGGACAGCUACAUUGCAGCCGUCUAUGAGCACAGUGUGCUCUUGUCAGAGGACACUGAAAAACCUACUUCUCCUGAGGAGGCUUUGAUGCUGAUGGACAGAAACAUGGAUGUUUUGGAAGUGGCCAUCAAAGAAGCAGCCAGACAGGGUGCCCACAUCGUUGUGACUCCUGAAGAUGGCAUUUAUGGCUGGGUGUUCACAAGGGAGACGAUAUACCCUUAUCUUGAAGGUAUUCCAGACCCACAGGUGGACUGGAUUCCAUGUGCUGAUCCUGAAAGAUUUGCUCCUUCACCAGUGCAGAAAAGACUGAGCUGCCUGGCAAGGAAUAACUCCAUCUAUGUGGUUGCAAAUAUGGGAGACAAGAAGCCGUGUAAUUCCAGUGACCCAAGGUGCCCAGCUGAUGGUCACUACCAGUACAAUACCAACGUUGUCUUUGAUUCAGAAGGGAAACUGGUGGCUCGUUAUCACAAGUAUAACCUUUUUGUGACAGAGAAACAAUUUAAUUAUCCCAAGUAUCCAGAAUUUGUGACUUUCAAUACAUCCUUUGGAUAUUUCGGCAUUUUUACUUGUGCAGACAUACUCUUUCAUGACCCAGCUGUGGUCCUGGCAAGCAGAUUUCAGGUUGACACAAUUCUAUUCCCAACUGCUUGGGUUAAUACUCUUCCACUUCUGUCGGCUGUCCAGUUUCACUCAGCAUGGGCUAUGGGAAUGGGUGUCAACUUUCUUUCGGCAAAUACACGUAACUCCACUUUAGAUAUGACAGGGAGUGGUAUUUAUGCCCCAGAUGGUCCAAGAACAUAUUAUUAUAAUACUGAAACAGAAAAUGGUCACCUACUUGUGAAAGAGCUGAGUUCACAUCCACGUCGGUCUCCUGGCUAUCCUCCUGCCGUUAACUGGAAGUUGUAUGCCAGCAGUAUCAAAUGGCUUCCAUCAAAUGACCACUAUUUCAGUGGUGUCAUUUAUCAUGAUCUCUUCUCUUUCACUGAACUCACUGAACCUGAGGGAAAUCGUGCUAUUUGCCAGAAGGACCUCUGUUGCCACCUGAGUUACAAGAUGACAGAGAAGCAGAAAGAUGACAUUUAUGUUCUAGGUGCCUUUGAUGGACUACAUGUUGUUGAAGGAGAGUAUUAUCUGCAGGUAUGCACACUGCUCAAGUGUAGGAGCACAGACCUGAGCACGUGUGGACAGCCGGUGGAGACUGCACAGACCAAGUUUGACAUGUUCUCCCUCAGCGGCACGUUUGGCACUAACUAUGUCUUUCCAGAGAUCUUGUAUAGUGGAGUGCAGCUGGCCCCUGGGGAAUUUGAGGUACUAAGUGAUGGACGUGUGAUAAGCCGGACUGGUACAUCUGAGCCAGUUUUGAGUAUAACGCUCUUCGGGAGAUGUCAGACCACUUAUCCUUGGGGUACUCAGCCUCCUGACCUGUCUGCAGUGGGGAGUAAAACAAACCCCCCAUGAUUCAUGUGGAAAUAGAGACCUGCUGCUCCACCUGGACUGUCACAAGCUAUGUAAUGGAUACAACGGAGGUUUUUCCAUGCAAAGAUUAGCACAUGAGGAGUCAUUUUCCAGGCAGCUUCUCUCAGCACAAGGAGCAGGACCACGAUCUGAAGAUGCACUGCCUCUUUGGCUAAGCUGACAGCACCGAAUUGCACCCUGUGUCACCAAA
Molecule: RNA transcript, 1900 nt
Organism: Anas platyrhynchos (mallard)
Lineage: Eukaryota; Metazoa; Chordata; Aves; Anseriformes; Anatidae
Gene name: pantetheinase
Source: RefSeq, a predicted model, not a curated record